UACGUAGGUGGCAAGCGUUGUCCGGAUUUACUGGGCGUAAAGGGCGUGCAGGCGGUUUUUUAAGUCUAGGGUGAAAGCUCCCGGCUCAACUGGGAGAGGUCCUUGGAUACUGGAGAACUUGAGGGAUGCAGAGGAAAGUGGAAUUCCCGGUGUAGUGGUGAUAUGCGUAGAUAUCGGGAGGAACACCAGUGGCGAAGGCGGCUUUCUGGGCAUUUCCUGACGCUGAGACGCGAAAGCGUGGGGAGCGAAC
Molecule: ribosomal RNA, 250 nt
Filed under: uncultured bacterium
Lineage: Bacteria
Description: partial 16S ribosomal RNA
Rfam family: Bacterial small subunit ribosomal RNA
Source: RNAcentral